UCCGGCUUAACGCCGGCAGUCCCAUUAGAGUGCCCAACUGAAUGUAGCAACUAAUGGCAAGGGUUGCGCUCGUUGCGGGACUUAACCCAACAUCUCACGACACGAGCUGACGACAGCCAUGCAGCACCUGUGUGUAGGUCCCCGAAGGGAAGGAAUCCAUCUCUGGAAGCCGUCCUACCAUGUCAAACGUUGGUAAGGUUCUGCGCGUUGCUUCGAAUUAAACCACAUGCUCCGCUGCUUGUGCGGGUCCCCGUCAAUUCCUUUGAGUUUUAGCCUUGCGGCCGUACUCCCCAGGCGGGGCACUUAAUGCGUUAGCUUCGGCACGGAGGGAGUCGACACCCCCCACACCUAGUGCCCAUCGUUUACAGCGUGGACUAC
Molecule: unclassified non-coding RNA, 378 nt
Filed under: uncultured bacterium
Lineage: Bacteria
Description: contains 16S-23S intergenic spacer region
Source: RNAcentral